This 959-nucleotide ribosomal RNA is filed under the name Bacillus licheniformis. RNAcentral's name for it is "bacterial SSU rRNA". It matches the Rfam family "Bacterial small subunit ribosomal RNA", at positions 413 to 1365 of the family's 1533-position model. The record is from RNAcentral. Lineage: Bacteria; Bacillati; Bacillota; Bacilli; Caryophanales; Bacillaceae.
GUUUUUCGGAUCGUAAAACUCUGUUGUUAGGGAAGAACAAGUACCGUUCGAAUAGGGCGGUACCUUGACGGUACCUAACCAGAAAGCCACGGCUAACUACGUGCCAGCAGCCGCGGUAAUACGUAGGUGGCAAGCGUUGUCCGGAAUUAUUGGGCGUAAAGCGCGCGCAGGCGGUUUCUUAAGUCUGAUGUGAAAGCCCCCGGCUCAACCGGGGAGGGUCAUUGGAAACUGGGGAACUUGAGUGCAGAAGAGGAGAGUGGAAUUCCACGUGUAGCGGUGAAAUGCGUAGAGAUGUGGAGGAACACCAGUGGCGAAGGCGACUCUCUGGUCUGUAACUGACGCUGAGGCGCGAAAGCGUGGGGAGCGAACAGGAUUAGAUACCCUGGUAGUCCACGCCGUAAACGAUGAGUGCUAAGUGUUAGAGGGUUUCCGCCCUUUAGUGCUGCAGCAAACGCAUUAAGCACUCCGCCUGGGGAGUACGGUCGCAAGACUGAAACUCAAAGGAAUUGACGGGGGCCCGCACAAGCGGUGGAGCAUGUGGUUUAAUUCGAAGCAACGCGAAGAACCUUACCAGGUCUUGACAUCCUCUGACAACCCUAGAGAUAGGGCUUCCCCUUCGGGGGCAGAGUGACAGGUGGUGCAUGGUUGUCGUCAGCUCGUGUCGUGAGAUGUUGGGUUAAGUCCCGCAACGAGCGCAACCCUUGAUCUUAGUUGCCAGCAUUCAGUUGGGCACUCUAAGGUGACUGCCGGUGACAAACCGGAGGAAGGUGGGGAUGACGUCAAAUCAUCAUGCCCCUUAUGACCUGGGCUACACACGUGCUACAAUGGGCAGAACAAAGGGCAGCGAAGCCGCGAGGCUAAGCCAAUCCCACAAAUCUGUUCUCAGUUCGGAUCGCAGUCUGCAACUCGACUGCGUGAAGCUGGAAUCGCUAGUAAUCGCGGAUCAGCUGCCGCGGAUU